This 778-nucleotide ribosomal RNA is filed under the name uncultured bacterium. Its description in RNAcentral is "bacterial SSU rRNA". It matches the Rfam family "Bacterial small subunit ribosomal RNA", at positions 8 to 796 of the family's 1533-position model. The record is from RNAcentral.
AGAGUUUGAUCCUGGCUCAGGACGAACGCUGGCGGCGUGCUUAACACAUGCAAGUCGAACGGGGCUCAUCGCUUCGGUGGUGGGUUCAGUGGCGAACGGGUGAGUAACACGUGGGCAACCUGCCCCCGGCUCUGGGAUAACUCCAAGAAAUUGGGGCUAAUACCGGAUGUCCUCUGCUGGCCGCAUGGUUGGUGGUGGAAAGGGUUUCCGGCUGGGGAUGGGCCCGCGGCCUAUCAGCUUGUUGGUGGGGUAGUGGCCUACCAAGGCGACGACGGGUAGCCGGCCUGAGAGGGUGACCGGCCACACUGGGACUGAGACACGGCCCAGACUCCUACGGGAGGCAGCAGUGGGGAAUAUUGCGCAAUGGGCGGAAGCCUGACGCAGCGACGCCGCGUGGGGGAUGACGGCCUUCGGGUUGUAAACCUCUUUCAGCAGGGACGAAGCCGGAAGGUGACGGUACCUGCAGAAGAAGCACCGGCCAACUACGUGCCAGCAGCCGCGGUAAUACGUAGGGUGCAAGCGUUGUCCGGAAUUAUUGGGCGUAAAGAGCUCGUAGGCGGUUCGUCGCGUCGGCUGUGAAAACCCGGAGCUCAACUCCGGGCCUGCAGUCGAUACGGGCGGACUGGAGUUCGGCAGGGGAGACUGGAAUUCCUGGUGUAGCGGUGAAAUGCGCAGAUAUCAGGAGGAACACCGGUGGCGAAGGCGGGUCUCUGGGCCGAUACUGACGCUGAGGAGCGAAAGCGUGGGGAGCGAACAGGAUUAGAUACCCUAGUAGUCC